AACGAACGCUGGCGGCAGGCCUAACACAUGCAAGUCGAACGAUACCAUCGGGUAUAUUGGUGCACGGCUGCGGAACGCGGGGGGACUUGCCCUUGUGUUGGGAAUAACUCGCCGGAAGGGGUUCUAAUACCGGAAAGGUUCCUCGUACCAAAGAUCUAUCGACUUUGGAUGGGCGGGCGUUGGGUGAGCUUGUUGGUAGGGUAAAAGCCUACGAAGGCGACGAGCCAUAGAUGGUCUGAGAGGAUGAUCCGCCACACUGGGACUGAGACACGGCGCAGACUACUACGGGAGGCGGCAGUGGGGAAUAUUGGACAAUGGGCGAAAGCAUGAUGCAGCUAUGCCGCGUGAGUGAUGAAGGCCUUAGGGUUGUAAAGCUAUUUUACCCGGGAUGAUAAUGACGGUACCGGGAGAAUAAGCUCCGGCUAACUCCGUG
This 433-nucleotide ribosomal RNA is filed under the name uncultured bacterium. RNAcentral's name for it is "partial 16S ribosomal RNA". It matches the Rfam family "Bacterial small subunit ribosomal RNA", at positions 29 to 507 of the family's 1533-position model. The record is from RNAcentral.